Molecule: ribosomal RNA, 253 nt
Filed under: uncultured bacterium
Lineage: Bacteria
Description: partial 16S ribosomal RNA
Rfam family: Bacterial small subunit ribosomal RNA
Source: RNAcentral
UACGGGGGGGGCAAGCGUUGUUCGGAAUUACUGGGCGUAAAGCGCACGUAGGCGGCUUUGUAAGUUAGAGGUGAAAGCCCAGGGCUUAACCCUGGAAUUGCCUUUAAGACUGCAUCGCUCGAAUUGUGGAGAGGUGAGUGGAAUUCCGAGUGUAGAGGUGAAAUUCGUAGAUAUUCGGAAGAACACCAGUGGCGAAGGCGACUCACUGGACACAUAUUGACGCUGAGGUGCGAAAGCGUGGGGAGCAAACAGG